UGAUGGCAUCUAGCAUCUUUUGAGCAGAUAGUAUGUGCUAAGCACGAGUUAAUUUGUUCAAUCUUCGCAAGGUCCUAUGAGAUACAUAGUAUUAUUCUCUCCAUUUUACAGCUGAGGAAACUGAGGACCAGAGAGAUAUAACUCACCCAAGGCUAUAUCCCCAGGGAGUGGUGGGAACAGCAUUUAACCCAGGCAGUCUGGCUCCAGAGCCUGCUCUCAAAAUCACUGCACUGCCAUGAACGUGACGAUGCUACCCACUCCACAGGAUUGCUAUGAAGACUUUCCACUGAGGGAAUGUAUGCAAAGCAUUUAGUACAGCACCUGACACCAUCUACAUAGGACUCCACUGGGUGGAUGAACAACUCUUCAACCAAUCUCAUAUGUAUGUAACAGAGAUUCCAAGAUCCAAGAGGCAUGGCCAAGAUCAUGGACCUGGUAAACAGCAAAGCUGGAAUACAAACUCAGGCUUUUAAAAAGAAAACCCGCUCGUGUCCAGAUGACAGCCGUGGCUGCAGGGCACCCUCCGCUUGAAAGCCAGACUCCCCCCUCGCUUCUCAGCCACGAUGCGAAAAGGGAGGUGCAGAGAGAUAAAGUGAUUUGCCCAAGUGGAGUCCAGACCGAACCCCGGGCUGCCAACCUCCAGGGCCAUCUCUAAAUUGCAGGGUUCUGUUGGGUGCUUUUAAGGUCGGAGAAUAACGCAAAUGACAUGCGUCCUCGGCUGACUGCUUGCCGUCUGUGAGACUGCUCAGUGGUGUGCAGGGGCAAGAACACACGAAGAUGGAGGAAGGGAUCGUGGAGGAGGGGGCAUUUGAGGUGAGAUGGGAAGGGUGGCUAGGAUAUUUCAAUAGGUGGCGCUUUGAGGGAAGGCAUAAAAGGAGGAGGGAACAGAAGUACAGAGGCCUGGAGGUGGGAAGGGGCAGGGGCUGUUCCAGGACAGCCUGC
This is a long non-coding RNA of Manis pentadactyla (Chinese pangolin), 942 nucleotides long. RefSeq lists it as uncharacterized. The record is from RefSeq and is a predicted model, not a curated record. Lineage: Eukaryota; Metazoa; Chordata; Mammalia; Pholidota; Manidae. The transcript has 5 exons.